This 253-nucleotide ribosomal RNA is filed under the name uncultured bacterium. RNAcentral's name for it is "partial 16S ribosomal RNA". It matches the Rfam family "Bacterial small subunit ribosomal RNA", at positions 524 to 776 of the family's 1533-position model. The record is from RNAcentral.
GACAGAGGGAGCAAACGUUGUUCGGAAUUACUGGGCGUAAAGCGCGUGUAGGCGGUCCGGAAAGUCGGGUGUGAAAGCCCUGGGCUCAACACAGGAAGUGCACUCGAAACUCCCAGACUGGAGUCCCGGAGAGGAUGGCGGAAUUCUCGGUGUAGAGGUGAAAUUCGUAGAUAUCGAGAGGAACAUCGGUGGCGAAGGCGGCCUUCUGGACGGUGACUGACGCUGAGACGCGAAAGCGUGGGGAGCAAACAGG